This 253-nucleotide ribosomal RNA is filed under the name uncultured Methylococcales bacterium. Its description in RNAcentral is "partial 16S ribosomal RNA". It matches the Rfam family "Bacterial small subunit ribosomal RNA", at positions 524 to 776 of the family's 1533-position model. Lineage: Bacteria; Pseudomonadati; Pseudomonadota; Gammaproteobacteria; Methylococcales. The record is from RNAcentral.
UACGGAGGGUGCGAGCGUUAAUCGGAAUUACUGGGCGUAAAGAGUGCGUAGGCGGCACGUUAAGUCAGAUGUGAAAGCCCUGGGCUCAACCUGGGAACUGCAUUUGAAACUGGCGAGCUAGAGUUGAGUAGAGGUAAGUGGAAUUUCAGGUGUAGCGGUGAAAUGCGUAGAUAUCUGAAGGAACACCAGUGGCGAAGGCGACUUACUGGACUCAAACUGACGCUGAGGUACGAAAGCGUGGGUAGCAAACAGG